RNAcentral lists this long non-coding RNA (750 nucleotides) under Homo sapiens (human). Its description in RNAcentral is "non-protein coding LINC00115:12". The record is from RNAcentral. Lineage: Eukaryota; Metazoa; Chordata; Mammalia; Primates; Hominidae.
CUGCAGGACAAGUUCGAGCAUCUUAAAAUGAUUCAACAGGAGGAGAUAAGGAAGCUCGAGGAAGAGAAAAAACAACUGGAAGGAGAAAUCAUAGAUUUUUAUAAAAUGAAAGCUGCCUCUGAAGCACUGCAGACUCAGCUGAGCACCGAUACAAAGAAAGACAAACAUCCUGAUCCAUAUGAAUUCCUCUUAUUAAGAAAAAUAAAGCAUCCAGGAUUCAAUGAAGAACUGACUAUCACCUUGUUAAUCAUUCAGAAACAUGUUGCAGGCUUAAGCCAUUUUUGAUAUAGAUACUGAAACAAUUACUUGCUAAGAGCAAACUUGAAGGUAUGGAUAAGGCCCUGAGUCAUCUUCCUGAGCUGAAUGAUAGUUAAGCUGAAUGUACGUAUAAAAUAUGAUUUUCUAACCACUUGCUCGCCAACAAGGAAAACUUUUAAGUAGAGCAGAACCUGAAUAGACAAGACAUUUCUUUCUUUUGGUAGAAAAUGAUUUACCAUCACUGUGUAGUUAAUUGUAGACUAGGUAAUUUUAACUUUGUGAUUUAUUGCCGGAGACAUUUUCUUCUGUACUGUAAAGUGUGUGUCAAAAAAAAAAAUAGCGAUUUUGGAGGAUUAGGGGACUUUGAUAAAUUGCCUGCAAUUCUGGCAGUAUGAACUGCAUAUUAAUUUCUCUCUUUCAAGAACAUUUUUAUUUAUUAAUUCCUUACAAAAACUCCCUAAACUUUGGAACAGCUCUCAAUUGCCUGUAUUC